CACGUAAAUUCUAGUUAAUGCAUUCUUAAACUGGGUAGGUAGGUGGAGGAAAAGCUGGGAAACCUUCAAAAUCUCAUCAUACCAAAUAGCAGGAGCUGUUUCAAGGGUAGUCGGAAGGAGGCUCACGGGCUAACUGAGAACGGACUGAUCCACUGAAAACCACAAGAAAACUGGUGAAAAUGCAACAACCAAAAAAAUGUUAACAGUACAAAUAUAUGCAAGAUUUGUACCCAAGCCAAGUGAAUAGACAACUGAGGCAACCAUACGGUCAUUCACAGCAAAGGCUGGGACAUAGUUGGUUCUCCCAGAAUGUGGGAGGGACAAUUCUUGAAGAACCAUAUUUUGAAGAGAAAUUGUGCGGUGACACUAACAUCAUGACUUUCGCUGCCUGGAUGUGCACAACUGCUUCUUCCAUCACCUUCUACCCAGAUUCCUCAACAGCCUUCUACCUAAAACACAUAGGGAAAACCCCCAUUGUGGAAGAACUAGCUGUACUUAGAAAAGGGUUUUAGAUUUGAACUAUCCAGAACUGCUCUUCACUUUGAUUGAAUGCACUCUAUUUUUGCCACACACACUGUAUGCAGGCUAAGAUUUAAAAUCCUUGUAAAAGAUGCUGGGUUUCUCAAACACAAAGCAUAAGGCUGUGUGAAAUGUAUAACUUUGGAAGAGUUAAAACCAUGAAAAUGUUAACUGCCCACUGGAAAAAAAAAUGAAGUACUUAAUGGCAUCAUGCCAAUAAUCAAUUUGGAUGUGCUGUUUCUCUAGCUGAAUAUAAAAAUCAAUGACUCAUG
This is a long non-coding RNA of Ornithorhynchus anatinus (platypus), 791 nucleotides long. RefSeq lists it as uncharacterized. The record is from RefSeq and is a predicted model, not a curated record. NCBI's taxonomy places the organism in Eukaryota, Metazoa, Chordata, Mammalia, Monotremata, Ornithorhynchidae. The transcript is spliced from 3 exons.